Molecule: transfer RNA, 75 nt
Filed under: Acholeplasma sp. CAG:878
Lineage: Bacteria; Bacillati; Mycoplasmatota; Mollicutes; Acholeplasmatales; Acholeplasmataceae
Description: transfer RNA-Pseudo(CCA)
Rfam family: tRNA
About the family: Transfer RNA (tRNA) molecules are approximately 80 nucleotides in length. Their secondary structure includes four short double-helical elements and three loops (D, anti-codon, and T loops).
Source: RNAcentral
AGGGAGUUGAGUUAAUGGUUAUUCGCUUGGUCUCCAAAACCGAGAAUUUCAGUUCGAAUCUGAAACUCCCUGCCA